ACUGCAGGAGUGACAAGUAAGCCAUCACAGUGGGGUCAGGAAAAGUGGCUGUAGACCUGGCUUAGCUGCAGCUUGUCUUUGACGUUCCACCCAUAUUUAUGAGUUCUUCUCAUUAGAUGAUCCAUUGGUACAUGUUUUUCCUUAAGUGAGGACCCAUCACUUGCAGAAUCUAAAAGCUUGAAAAGCCAUCAAAAAGUAAUGAGCAGGAAUGAGAAACAUUCCCCUCACCCAGUGCUCACCAGUUCAGGUGCAGCAGCUGAUCCCAAAAGGCACUCCUCUCUGAUGGGGACUGUGCCAACGUGAGCAUGCCAGACAGCGGAUUUAAAACACCUUUCCAUGCAGAUUUUGCACAGCAAAAGCCAGCGGCAUAAAUAUUAAUGGAAAGCAAAUACAAAAGGUAUUUUUGUAAAAUGAAUACAUUUUAAAAGGGUUGUAAAAUAUUCAUGGGAAGUGUUUCUAGCAGGAACCUAGAAUAGGGGCCCAGGUCUGGAAGUUACAACACAUUUCUCCAGCGUUAAGCACCCAGUUGCAGUGAGAGCUCAGAUCCCCCAGGCCAAGGCAGGCCUCAGGGACUUCAAGCGACUGGAGUAGCGCCAAUACAGGACUAAUGCCGAGGACCUGGGCCAUCAGGACUGAGCUGAGACAUGCAAGUGGGCUUUCCACUUAUAGUGAAGUAGCUAUUUCAAAGUCUGUGUAGCUCACUUGUUGACAUGAGGACCCUCUGCUUUGCAGGAUCGCUCAGCACCAGCACUGGAAGCAGUCCGGUCCCACUGCCCUCUGAAACAGCAUUGCAACCACAGCUAAAUGGUAGCUCAGCUCCUCUCAGCUUUAUCUUUUAGCAGGAUUAAAUUUUACUGAGCCUUGUUUAAGAUGAACAAUGGCUUUAUCUCCAGAGCUGGUUAUUGAGCGGAAGGUGCUCAAUCCAAAGGUGAGGUAUUGGUUAUCAAUUUAUUGCCUCCUUACCCUCUGAUUUCCUUGAAAAAAAAGAUGAAAUUGUGGGUGUGUGUUUCUAUGCAUAAUACAAACGAAUACUUCCAGAUGUAUCAAUGCCAUUUUCAAAUGAUGCUUUCAAGUCAUGGCAACAGCAGAGGUCACAGAGAUCUUCUCCUUUCUCAGGCUGAUAUGUGAGUACCUCAGCUAAAUGUGCAUGCAAUGCAUGGGCAACAGAUGUGGAAGGCUGUGAAGAAAAAUGAAACAAACAAGCAAAGAAAAAAGCACAAUCCCAAACUAACGUGCAGGGCACAGCUGAUAAGCAAGAGACAUAGGACUGGGAGAUGUAAAUGGAAAUGAAAGCAAAGGCCCAUGCCUGCAGUGCAGCCUGGCUGCUGGAGCUCUGCAGGGAGGGAAGGGACAGGUGCCCCAGCCUCCCCCUUGCUCUCAGCUUGCCUUCCAGGGGGCAGCCCCAGGCACGAGCCCAAUCCCACCACUACACGCUGGCUGUGUGGCUUAUGUGCAGAUGAGAACCUGAGUGCACAGUCAGACAUACCUGUACCUGCAGUGCCACCUGAGAUCCUAACUCCAAGUCCUCUCUCUUAAUUAACGAUAUCACAAAGCAUCCUGGUGAUGCAUCCUGCUGAAAGACACAGGCCUGGAACAGUCUUCUUGUUCAUUAAAUUAUUCAUGUGCCAGAUGGCCACCCAAACACCUGAGCUGGUACCACGGAAAGUCUACAGCAAACUUCAGUCAUCCCCAGGCAAAAGCCUCCACUUGGAGUCCUUCCGGGGUGGCUGGGAAAGGGGCACCCAGAGACACACUUGUCUCUGAAGUGCUCUUGUUAGCACCCACUCAUCUACUGCCAUAUGGCGCCUUAUGUCGAGAUAAGCUGUAAACAAAAUUGCACGAGUCUAAAUAACAUUUAAGAAAAAAAAAUACAGUAUCAGCCCAGCUGUUUAUCACUACAAGUUACAGUUGUAAUUAUUCCUACCUUUUUUCAUCAUUACAAUUCUAGCUUUCAAGUUUUCAAGCUUCUUUGUGCCUUAUGUCUACAAACACAUUGCUAAACAGCUGCAACACUUAAUAGUUCAGAACAGAAGAUGGAGAGAUAAGACGGUGAAAGUAGUUAUGGUUACGAGCAUUAUUCAAAUCACAGUUCAAAGAAAACCUUUUCUUUUGGGGAAGACUUGUCCUGUGCAGCAGGGCAUGUAGGUACCACUUCUAGAUAAAAACUAAUCACCUUCAACAUUGGUUUAGCAAUUGGCUGACAAAUUAUCAACUGCUUCAUGUACCAUCAUCAUUUCUACUGUUUCCUAUCACAUAUGCACUAAGAACACCAUUACCUUUUCUGUUUUCAGUAAUUCUUUCCAUUUGUAGAAUUAGCCGAACACAGUAAGGGACAAAAAUGUAAUCACUGCAACCAUGUAUUAAACCUGCGUUUAUAAAGCAUUAAAAAAGAACAAUCACAACAAAAACUGGAGCCAAAACACUGAAGUUAGUUGGCAGUGAUUUUCUCUCUCUGUCUCUCUCUUUCUCUCAACCAUAAGCUGCUGCUGGAAGCACGCUCUUUACUUUUUCUUGCAAGUCACAUACAUCUUGUCUCUUGCUUGCAAUGACUGUAUAGUAUAGUGUCAAUCAGCUAAGAUGAGAUUCAUUUAGUUGCAUGUAAUGAUGUUUGGCCAAGUGAAAUUGUACAGUUAAUUAUGACCAGAUGUGUUUCAAUAUAGCCUUUCAACCUUUGAAUUGCCCAGUAUGCUCUCUCUCACAUUUUGACUUUAUCUCCUUAAUUGUCUCACUAACUAAUCACAGGCAACUACCUCUAAUGUAACCAUAAUGAGGGAGAUACACUGAACGCUAGACCGUGGCUUUGCGUAGCAAUUUCAGAAGCCUGAGAGACCAGAUUUCAAAAGGGCUGGCUUGCGGUCCCGAGUUCCUCUGGCAGCGGGAUGGAGACAGGCUACGAAGCUGGAUGAUCCUCGAUUUACUGUGCUUAUGAGGGAGCUGGUAACCACAAAUGAAAGCUGGGUGAAAACAAGGCAGAGGAAGAGCUUUGGUCACAGCGUGUGUGUUCGUUUUUCUUAAUUUUUGUUUGUUUCUUCUUACUUUAUUUUGUUUUUCUUUUUUGGUAGAGCACCUAGGACACAUGGAGUGGAAAGACCCUUUGAAGAACAGAGGAGCAGCUGGGCUACUGAGAGCUUUUGCCUGUCAAUGAAAUUAAGUUCUUGCCUUUUUCUUUAUACAGUUCCCAAAUACCUGUUUUCUAAACUGAUGUUUCCUCAAGUAAUAAAAAAUCCCACUGGAAAAUAAAAAGGUAAAACUUCUACUGUU
Molecule: non-coding RNA, 3261 nt
Organism: Anas platyrhynchos (mallard)
Lineage: Eukaryota; Metazoa; Chordata; Aves; Anseriformes; Anatidae
Source: RefSeq, a predicted model, not a curated record